GACGAACCGUGCGAACGUUGUUCGGAUUCACUGGGCUUAAAGGGCGCGUAGGCGGGUGGUCAAGUCAGAGGUGAAAUCCUCCAGCUUAACUGGAGAAGUGCCCCUGAUACUGGCCAUCUCGAGGGAGGUAGGGGCAUGUGGAACUUCCGGCGGAGCGGUGAAAUGCGUAGAUAUCGGAAGGAACGCCGGUGGCGAAAGCGACGUGCUGGACCUCUUCUGACGCUGAGGCGCGAAAGCUAGGGGAGCAAACGGG
Molecule: ribosomal RNA, 253 nt
Filed under: uncultured bacterium
Lineage: Bacteria
Description: partial 16S ribosomal RNA
Rfam family: Bacterial small subunit ribosomal RNA
Source: RNAcentral